UACGGAGGGGGCGAGCGUUGUUCGGAAUCAUUGGGCGUAAAGGGCGCGUAGGCGGCCUUGCAAGUCGGGUGUGAAAUCCCUCGGCUCAACCGAGGAACCGCACUCGAUACUGCCGGGCUAGAGUCCGGGAGGGGAUGGUGGAAUUCCCAGUGUAGCGGUGAAAUGCGUAGAUAUUGGGAAGAACACCGGUGGCGAAGGCGGCCAUCUGGACCGGUACUGACGCUGAGGCGCGAAAGCUAGGGGAGCGAAUGGG
This 253-nucleotide ribosomal RNA is filed under the name uncultured bacterium. Its description in RNAcentral is "partial 16S ribosomal RNA". It matches the Rfam family "Bacterial small subunit ribosomal RNA", at positions 524 to 776 of the family's 1533-position model. The record is from RNAcentral.